UACGUAGGGGGCGAGCGUUGUCCGGAUUUAUUGGGCGUAAAGAGCGCGUAGGCGGUCCGGUAAGUCAGCUGUGAAAGUCAGGGGCUCAACCCUUGAAAGCCGGUUGAUACUGUCGGGCUAGAGUCCGGAAGAGGCGAGUGGAAUUCCCGGUGUAGCGGUGAAAUGCGCAGAUAUCGGGAGGAACACCAAUGGCGAAGGCAGCUCGCUGGGACGGUACUGACGCUGAGGCGCGAAAGCGUGGGGAGCAAACAGG
This 253-nucleotide ribosomal RNA is filed under the name uncultured bacterium. Its description in RNAcentral is "partial 16S ribosomal RNA". It matches the Rfam family "Bacterial small subunit ribosomal RNA", at positions 524 to 776 of the family's 1533-position model. The record is from RNAcentral.